AGUGAACGCUGGCGGCGUGCCUAAUACAUGCAAGUCGAACGGAGUGGCGCACGGGUGAGUAAUAUAUAGCUAACUUGCCCAUUACUCAGGGACCACAGUUGGAAACGAAUGCUCAUACCUUAUAGUAAUGGAUAGGGCUAUAUCGUAUCAGCUAGUUGGUAAGGUAACGGCUUACCAAGGCUCUGACGCGUAACUGGUCUGAGAGGAUUCUCAGUCACACUGGAAAUGAGACACGGUCGAGACUCCUACGGGAGGCAGCAGAUGAGAAUAUUGCUCAAUGGGGAGACCCUGAAGCAGCAACGCCGCGUGGAGGAUGACACUUUUCGGAGCGUAAACUCCUUUUCUUGGGAAAGCGGUAACCAAGGAAUAAGCACCGGCUAACUCCGUGCCAGCAGCCGCGGUAAUUC
This 407-nucleotide ribosomal RNA is filed under the name uncultured bacterium. RNAcentral describes it as "partial 16S ribosomal RNA". It matches the Rfam family "Bacterial small subunit ribosomal RNA", at positions 29 to 526 of the family's 1533-position model. The record is from RNAcentral.